GACGAACGCUGGCGGCGUGCUUAACACAUGCAAGUCGAACGGAAAGGCCCUGCUUGCAGGGUACUCGAGUGGCGAACGGGUGAGUAACACGUGGGUGAUCUGCCCUGCACUUCGGGAUAAGCCUGUUCAACUGGGUCUAAUACCGGAUAGGAGCCAUUUUUAGUGUGAUGGUUGGAAAGUUUUUUCGGUGUAGGAUGAGCUCGCGGCCUAUCAGCUUGUUGGUGGGGUAAUGGCCUACCAAGGCGGCGACGGGUAGCCGGCCUGCGAGGGUGGACGGCCACAUUGGGACUGAGAUAAGGCCCAGACUCCUAAGGGAGGCAGAAGUGGGGAAGAUUGAACAAUGGGCGCAAGCCUGAUGAAGCGACGCCGCGUGGGGGAUGACGGCCUUCGGGUUGUAAACUCCUUUCGCUAGGGACGAAGCUUUUUGUGACGGUACCUAGAUAAGAAGCACCGGCUAACUACGUG
RNAcentral lists this ribosomal RNA (465 nucleotides) under uncultured bacterium. Its description in RNAcentral is "partial 16S ribosomal RNA". It matches the Rfam family "Bacterial small subunit ribosomal RNA", at positions 28 to 507 of the family's 1533-position model. The record is from RNAcentral.